GACGAACGCUGGCGGCGUGCUUAACACAUGCAAGUCGAGCGGUAAGGCCCUUUCGGGGGUACACGAGCGGCGAACGGGUGAGUAACACGUGGGUGACCUGCCCCCAGCUCUGGGAUAAGCCUGGGAAACCGGGUCUAAUACCGGAUAUGACUCCAUGACGCAUGUUGUGGGGUGGAAAGCCUUGUGCGGCUGAGGAUGGGCCCGCGGCCUAUCAGCUUGUUGGUGGGGUGAUGGCCACCAAGGCGACGACGGGUAGCCGGCCUGAGAGGGCGACCGGCCACACUGGGACUGAGACACGGCCCAGACUCCUACGGGAGGCAGCAGUGGGGAAUCUUGCGCAAUGGGCGAAAGCCUGACGCAGCGACGCCGCGUGAGGGAUGACGGCCU
RNAcentral lists this ribosomal RNA (387 nucleotides) under uncultured bacterium. RNAcentral describes it as "bacterial SSU rRNA". It matches the Rfam family "Bacterial small subunit ribosomal RNA", at positions 28 to 417 of the family's 1533-position model. The record is from RNAcentral.